CACAAAAUAUGAAAAGAAAAGAAAAACAAAUCUCCCCACAACCUCCUCCCUCAAAAAAAAAUCUCCCCGCAACCUCCCCGCAGCCUUCUUUGCCUCCUCUAUCUCACCGGCGCGUCGUGGAGCGACCCUUGCCGGAGUGGCGCCACAGAUCCUCAACUAAAUCGAACAUGUAAAGAUUGUUGCCGGCAACUAUGGUGUCGUAGCAGCUGCUCAGGCUCAACUCGCAUGGGAGUUCGUUCCCAAUGGAGAGCGACGACCAUGCCGGAGACAAGGCGGUGGAUGGGCUCGGGGCGGCAUCGCGGCUCCACGCCGGCGUCGUGACCGCCGCCCAGCAACUCCUCCUCUAUUGCCAAUUUGCGAUCGAUUUAGGAAAAGAUGAGGCGCCGCGGCUCCACGCCGGCAUCGUCCCCGCCGCCUAGCAACUCCUCCUGUACUGCCAUUCUCAACUCCAAUUUGCGAUCGAUUUAGAAAAAGGUAUAUGAUCCAACACGGGCUCCGUCUGAUCCAGUUUGCUGCAGGCUUUUAAUUUUUAGUUUCCAUGUUCUGAUUGAACUAGGAUCGAUCUAUGAUAUCCAGUAGAUGAUAUAUAAUCCCAUGAUAGAUGAUGAGUGAUGCAAGGGUGGAAUAGGCAUGGCUGUUUGUAGUAAAUUAAGAGGACAUCGACGUAUCUGAGGAUGCAACGCCGGAGUGGCGCCACAGAUCCUCAACUAAAUCGAACAUGUACAGAUUGUUGCCGGCAACUAUGGUGUCGUAGCAGCUGCUCAGGCUCAACUCGCGUGGGAGUUCGUUCCCAAUGGAAAGCGACGACCAUGCCGGAGACAAGGCGGAGGAUGGGCUCAGGGAGGCAUCACGGCUCCACGCCGGCGUCGUGAACGCCGCCCAGCAACUCCUCCUCUAUUGCCAAUUUGCGAUCGAUUUACAGAAAGAUGAGGCGCCGCGGCUCCACGCCGGUGUCGUCCCCGCCGCCUAGCAACUCCUCCUGUACUGCCAUUCUCAACUCCAAUUUGCGAUCGAUUUAGAAAAAGGUAUAUGAUCCAACACGGGCUCUGUCUGAUCCAGUUUGCUGCAGGCUUUUAAUUUUUAGUUUCCAUGUUCUGAUUGAACUAGGAUCGAUCUAUGAUAUCCAGUAGAUGAUAUAUAAUCCCAUGAUAGAUGAUGAGUGAUGCAAGGGUGGAAUAGGCAUGGCAGUUUGUAGUAAAUUAAGAGGACAUCGACGUAUCUGAGGAUGCAACUCUAUACGAAGGACUGAUGGAGGGGUUAUUGACUUCAGCACCGUUUGAGUUCACUGCCUGCAGCUCCUGCAUCCACUCAGCUGCACCCACCGUAUCCUUAUAUUUUUUGGUAUAUUAUCCAGCCCAUUGAACACAGAGCAGAAUCCCCAAUGAUUGUUUAGGAACUAGAUAUUUGUACUCAUGCAAUUCAUCUCUAAUCCCAUGUCGAGACAUUGAUAUUUACCUGCAGAACAUUACCAACCUAGAUUCUUGGCAGUGCACUGCAUAUUUAGUUCUUCCAUCAAUUUUGUCAUUCUAACAGAAAAAUGGAGCUGAUUCUCACUAGGUGCAGUCAUGGACUGCUGAUAUAACUUCACGGAUGGUAUUUGCUGGAAACUAGAUUCUUAUCUUCUGGUAUUGCCUACAUAUUUCAAAGUGUUUCAGUUUCGGUCAAUGUAGAUUAGUCUUAUUAUGAGUUACACAUGAACCUUUUUUUAACAUUUAGUACAUGUUCAGUUAUCCUUUCUUCAGUUUCCCAUGAUGUGCAUAAUAAUUAACUUCAAAACUUUGUCGAGUAUUAUUUGUUAUAUAUGCAUGAAGUAUCUACAGUUAAUUUCCUGUUGUAAAAAUCAUUUGUUAGUAGCUGAAUCAGAGGGAAAUCUAUGACAAGAAAACCAUCACACAAAUCUUUAAUUAACAGGAAGACGUUACAGAGUAGUAUUACUUAUUAUAUGUGGGUAGUACGUACAAUUAAUCUUUAGUUAUAGAAAAUCAUUUGUCAGUAGCUGAAUCAUAGGGAAAUUUGUGAUAACCGAAUCAGCAUAUAAAUCAUAGUAAUUCUAAGCUACUUUUGUAAGUUCAUUCGAGUGGACUUCGAUGUAAGUAAAUUUUCAUUUUUAUCCUCAUAUCUUGGAUUCUAGGUGAUGAGCCUCGGUUUUGUUGCAUCACAGUUUUGUAUGAUUGGCCACGAGCUACACAAAUACUCCCUCUGAUCCAAAAUAAGUGUCGUGGUUUUAGUGCAAAUUUGAAUUAAAACCAUGACACUUAUUUUGGAUCGGAGUGAGUACCAUAUAGUGUACAUAUAUUUAUGUUGAUGUUAGAAGGCGGAAUGUUAAAAGUUUUCCCAUGCUCUUAUUAUAAAUCUCUUCAUAGUAGCGAUAUGCAGUUUGUGAUUUGUUUCUUUUAACUUCUAUCAGCAUGGAUGAUAUUCCUAAAGGUUGGUCCUGACACUCAGAAGCUCCUCAUAGAGCAGCAGAGCUGCCCUCUCCAUGGCACAUCACUCUGCGUCUAAAUGAGUAGAUGUGCAACCUUCGUGUAUAAAACUAUCAUAUUUCUGCAUGCUAUAACUUACAAAGAAUAAUGUCUCAUGUAUAAAAUAUAUACAGAAUUUUUGGGUCACCACAAGAUUCCUGUUAUAUUAAUGGGCACAACCAAUUUUAGUAUGAACCCCUGUCUUAUUAUGCAUCCAUUGGUUCAUAUUUCAUAUGAUAAAUCUACUAUAGGAUCACUAUAUACACAUAGGAAUCUAGAUUACAUACACAAUCGAAUGGCAAAGAGGGUUCUGUUGCGUUAUUUAACUCAUCCAUUGAACCUUUGGUUCGAGUUUCUGUCCAUUGUAAAGAAAGAUUUUACAACUUUUACCCAACGACUAACAACCAUCAAAAUACAAUUAACUAUAUGUUAGCUUAGCAAACAUGGCAAUAUAUUUUACCGUGUCCUUACAAGACGCACAUUUUCCACAAAUAGGAAAUCUGGCUCUCUGUCAUUUGUUCUUUUUUAUGCUUGGCUGCCCAAUAGAUAGAACUGUUACGUUUUAGUUUGUUGCACCUUAUUGUUUUCUAGAGAUACUAAAAUUUAUCAUGGAGUAGAUCAACUUAACAUUACAUGAAUUUGUAGUUGUAAUUGGGUGGCGAUCGUUCACACAGUUGUUCUGACCAGUAAUGGGAUGCUAAUUCAUCCUAACGAUUGCAUCUUCAACGACGCGCGCCCAUCCAUCCUAACGUUAGUUCACGGCAUCAAGGAGGAGGCCAAACUUUGGGCUCUGGCAGGCGAUGCUGGACUUAGAGUAGUCCGGCCCCCGACCUGGGAUGUGCAUUAGCUCAUGUCCCCGACUGUAAUUCGCCUCCUAGGAGGGCUGUAACAUAAAACACUCUCUCUUUUCCCGAAAAAAAAGGAGUUCUAUUUUAAGCUAAUACUUCUGCUACAAGAUCCGGUGAACAUUAUUGGACCAUUUUAGGCCAGCGUGCACAAGGUAACACGUAAGUAUCAUACUAUUAUUUGUGCCACAUUCAUAUAUAUAUAUAAUUCAUACAUAUAUAUAUAUAUAUAUAUAUAAUUGUAUUUCCGCUGGGACAUAGUACCCGCGGAAAUCCAGUUCGUUAAGCUUCACAAUAAUUUCCGCAUGUAAUUCACAUCACAUUUCAUGUUCUGUGCCAGAAGAUAUUAUAGCAGAGUUGAUUAAACCGUGUUGUUGCUUGAUUUGAGCUUAUUUUGAUUUUUAAAAUGCCCACAUAUGAUUUUGGAAAAAAGGUGUGUAGAAAGAGAAAACCAUAGAGAGAUUGCAUUUUCCCCAACUAUUCAUACUUGCAUUUAUCAUAUUUCUUCACCAAUGUUUAUAUUGAAAGUCGCUCACAUAUUCGGUUCAUGUCAAACUGGGGUCCAUCCGAGGAUGCAUUACACAUGAUAAUGUGUGUAAGUAAGAACAUUAGUGCAUUUGCAGAAGCUGCGCUCAACAUCGCGCAUGAUAUUACUCCAGAUUUUAUUUUAUUUAACUAUCCAUGUUAAUUCCACCAUAAAAGUUCUAUUUCUAUUUAUGUGUUGUUUCUUCACAACAAGAAAUAAUCAUGACAGUAAUUCCGCUGGGCUAAUUGCUUCUCUUCUAUUUCCAACAUCCAAGAUUGACAUAUUCAACACAUGGCAUAUCUUUAGGUUAUUUAUCAUUCGACAUUUGGUGUCCAUUUUAUGGUUUUUCUGUAGUACUUAAUAAUGCCUAUAGUGUAGUAGGCUCAUUAUUGAUUGCUAAAAAUCGGUGUUCCAUUUUGAAAACACGUAAAUUCCAGCAAAUUAAAUUUACACAUGUGCUUUGUUUUGUCGCCAGGUGGUUGUCAAGGAAGAAUUUCCUAGAGCAGCUGCUAUUGGAGAAUUCAGGGAUGAAACUAGGUUUCUGUGAUAAUCUUAGUUGAGGCCAAUUUACAUGCUUUCAUUUGCAUCACCAAUUCUCAUGACCAUGGUUGAUUUUCAAGCAUCACAAAAAUAUCAUUUUCUGAUUAUCCUGAAGAGUAAAUCUGAAUGCCUUCCUUCUCCUUAUUUGGAAUUAGGACAACAGUUUUUCUACUUAUCUUUCCUCCUUUAUACACGAAGGUUACCAUUCUAAUUUUGUCCCUUCUAAACUGCCCCAAGUUGUUCUGAAUGUUACUCCAGUAAGUUGUACAAAAGAUGACUGGAGCUAAUACAGUACGUUUGAAGUUUUACUACUCCCCUGUUCUCAUGAGUUUCGUGUGACUGCAGCAGUGCAACUAAUGUAGUACUCCCUCCCAAAAUAUAAGAUCAUUUUUGACACUAUGAUAGUGUCAAAAAUGGUCUACAUUUUGGGACGGAGGGAGUAUGUUCGAAGUAUUACUACCCCUCCCUAUUCUGCUCAGUUUGGCUUCUGUCAUUAGUUUUUAAAGUGAAAUUCACAUUUUAUAUUUAGACAAGAAUGCGCUUUUGUGAAGUUAGAACUAUACAAAUCAAACUUUAGUAUGUAUUAAUUUCGAAGUUUGUGCAUUACUUGGAAAAUAUUCAGUCUUUGCAUAUCUAGGCUUACAUUGACGUAGUUCUCCGCCCCUUUGAGCUCCAAGCAUUUCA
This 5057-nucleotide ribosomal RNA is filed under the name Triticum aestivum (bread wheat). Its description in RNAcentral is "partial small subunit ribosomal RNA". The record is from RNAcentral. Lineage: Eukaryota; Viridiplantae; Streptophyta; Magnoliopsida; Poales; Poaceae.